RNAcentral lists this transfer RNA (67 nucleotides) under Marmota monax (woodchuck). It matches the Rfam family "tRNA". From Rfam's summary of the family: Transfer RNA (tRNA) molecules are approximately 80 nucleotides in length. Their secondary structure includes four short double-helical elements and three loops (D, anti-codon, and T loops). Lineage: Eukaryota; Metazoa; Chordata; Mammalia; Rodentia; Sciuridae. The record is from Rfam by way of RNAcentral.
GGUUGUAGCUCAGUGGUAAAGUGCUUGCCUCACAUGUGUGAGGCACUGGGUUCGACCCCCAGCACCA